UGGGGGUCCCUGGGUGUGGUGAGGGUGGGUCAGCUGCACUUUCGUUGAUGCGGGUUGUCAUCCCUUGACGGUGGCCUUGGGCUGUGGGUCCAAAGUUGCUUGGUCUCCCAGGCAGUGUCUGACCUGGGAUGGGAGCCUGGGGGCUGCUGCCCCAUCCCACAUCCAUCCCCACAGCCCCUGCUCCAGCAGUGUCCCCAUGGACAGCCUUGCUUAUGGAGUGGCCGCUCUGUGUUUUCUUCAGAAAAAGGAAAAAAAGUUCCCUUUCUUUACUGCUUAGCUCAUUCUUAAACAUUUAUAUUAGGGGGGUUUGCGGGGAGGGGAAAUAAUUGUGUAAUGUCUUAGGAGCAGGGGAGCAUUCCAAAAGCAUGACUGCGGGGCCUUUUCCAGCACUAGCACUCUGGCAGCCACGUCUCUCAGUGGCCGCCAACCUCCCUAAACCCAGCCCCAGCCUUCCCACCCCUCCGGGAGAACGGGACUGUGAUCCCUGGCUUGCAUCUGUGUGGAGUGGGCUGCGAGCAGGGGCUUGGCUGAGCCCCCUCAAGCUAAUAUCCCUGGGAAAGUGUUCCAGUUGGGAAACUGGACACUAGAGGCAGUGGUGUGGCUGGCUGCGUAUCAUGGGGACUAGUUGCGUUUUGUUUCUAUUUUGCCAAGUGCUUUUGGUGUCCAAACAGUUUCAGUUUAUGUCCAGCUCCUCCUCCUCAGCUCAGGUAGACACUGCAUGAGAUUUUAUGGACUUCUGCUUGAAUCCAGGUUCCUGACAGCUACAGCUUCUCCAGGGAAAUAUGUAAGUGAAAAUAAGCCAAGUCACUAUCUUGCUACAGGUUAUCAGGAACCUUUAACCAGGGUUACCUUCCGACUUGCUGUUUGCACUGGAGAGGCGCACUGACAUGAAAAGUAAGGAUUUGUAUUAGCAAAUAGUGAUCGGCGCUGGGGCAGGCAGGCGUUGCACAAGUACAGGCAUCUGCUGAUAUUGUGGCAUGUUGUUGGGAGCUUUCAACAAGACAUUUGCGCUACCGUGAGGCUGGGAAGGCUGUCACUACUGCAGGAGGUAAAAUAAGAACAUGGUAUGAUGUCCUUUGGAAAAGGAGGUAAGGGCAGGCAGCUUUUCCCACACUGCUCAAACACUUGUGGUUUGACCUUUGUUUAGGCUUUCAAAUUCUUCUGUUCCAAGUCCCUUUCUCUGUUUUGCUUGUGGAUGUUUUCUGGGGGAUUUAGCAAUGAAAACGAUCCACCCCGGACACUUUGCUCCAGGUCUAGGUCUGGGAAGUUGCCCUUUUCCACUGGAGUGUGUGUUAAGCCCAGCCUGCCUGGUUGUGCACAAAUAUCUCCAAAACUAUGGGAAAGGUCUAAACUUGUGCACUGCGUUGAGCUCCUACUUUGACAAUCGCUUGUCAUUUGGAUAUAGCAGGUCUGGAGGUCUGAGGAAGGUUUCAGGCAGCUCUCAGUGGUAAAUACAGACAUUUUCCUUGGUCUUUGCUUCUGGCAGCAGAGGGAUGGCAGGGGCAGGGUACUCCUGGCUGCUUGUGCCUCCAUUCCAUCUGUGCCUCCAUCCUGCCCAUGCCCUCAUCCUGCCCAUGUCUCCAUACCGCCAAACAUGGUCUUACAGAACAGGCAGCAGCAACAGCAGACCUUGCACCUCCUCUACACCUAUUUUCCACCCAGCAAUAUCUUUUGGAAGGUUUUUCACAGUGACAUUGUCCCUGUGAAUGUUGGUGUCAGCCCAGUAGCAGGCACGCAGUUCCACUUACCAGGACAGUGCCUGCAGCCAGACUUCUGCCAAGGAGAGGGAUGGGGAGGGUGGUGUCACCGAUGUCCCUGUGCUGGCUGCUGGGUAACAAGUAUCUGCUCUGUUCACCUGACAGUGCUCCAGAAUACAAUGCACCUUCCCUCAGCUGCAGCUGGCAGCCCUUCAUUUCUCAGGCUUAAAAAUAGUCACAGGCAUUAUAAACAGCCCUGCAUGGAACACAACAGAAAACUUGUUUUUCAUCCUCUCCAUGUUCCUUGUGGGAACAAAUGCUCUUAUCUCCCUUCUGUGCUUGGUUGACUUCUCUGUGCAGGACAGAGACGUGGAAUAUACAGCACAUCCAGCACCAUGCCUUGUAUAGAGGAAAUUAUCUGUUUGUUUAUUUCUGCUUCUAUGAUGUUCCAAGUUCUUCAGCGGAACCAGGAUGAAGCAGCAGCCACUGGGGAAUCAUUUGGAGACUGGUGCCCACCAGCCUCUGAGCUUUCAAAAAAAAUCUGCUCACAGACUUUGGCUCUUUCUCAAGAGCGCCUUCCAAAUCCAAGGGCUGUAUGGCAUACUCACAUUAAUGAACACUUGCACGUUAACAGUUAUGAAGUUUUUACCUUCUGCUAAAAAGGUAUGAAUUAUGCAUCAGGGAAAUACAUGAGUUAGCGGUGUGUAAAGA
Cyanistes caeruleus (blue tit) is the source of this 2408-nucleotide non-coding RNA. Lineage: Eukaryota; Metazoa; Chordata; Aves; Passeriformes; Paridae. The record is from RefSeq and is a predicted model, not a curated record.